GCCGCGCCGCGAGCCCGGGAGAAGCGUGAGGAGACGGCGACACGUCGUAGUUUGCGUUCUGGUUCCCGCCGCCCCCUUCCAUGAGCGAUUCUCACUCCCCAGUAAUCUUUGUCCCUUCUGGACUGCCUUCUCCUAGAAGCCCCGUCAGUCAGAAUCUUCUCUCCAGAACCCACUGCAAGACUUCAGGCUGCAUGCCCAGAUCCAGGGGCCCAGACCCCUCCCCUUUCGGAGGCCUCUCCCUCCGAAUCGCCCGUUCGCUGGAAUUCCUCUCCCGUCCCGGUGCCGCCUCCCCUUAGGAUGCGCCUUUUCUUAGCGACCCUGACCCCGGAACCCCCCUCAUCACGGUCCCUACACUCCGAUCUCCGCUUCCCCAGACUCCCCCAAGACAUCUCUACUCUCGCCCCCAAAUCACUGCACCCUAGGCUCACAGACUCCUGCCCCGCCUGAGAACCCCAGAACUGGGUUGCCCUAGACUCCCCUACAGGUUGCGCUUCUUCCCCCGGCCCCCCAAGAUUCUCUUCGAUCAAGAGGCUCCUCUUUAGGGCCGUAGUCUGCGUUUCUCUGGGGUGCAAGGUUCAGGGGGCGUGGUGGAGACCGGGUCAAGCCUGGAGGGCAGGUCUGGGGUCAGAGGGAGGAUCCUGCAGCCCCGAGUCAGCUCCGAAAGGAACCACAGGCCGGGGACCAGAGAAAGCCUUGGAGUGGGCAAGGUGCUCAUGUGGCCUCUCUGGACCAUCCUCCUGCUUGGGGGACUCUUGGGGGGUCUAGGAACCCCUCUCUGCCGAAGGGAACCCUUUUACUUCCUUGUGGCCAUCAUGAAGAUACUGGGAGACAAAAAUGAUGGCACUCUGUAUACCCCAGAUGAUCUCUCGGCUAGAGAGCCCUGCCCACAGCGCUGGAGCCCAGGGGAAGAGGAGAGAAGGGUACCAAGGAGAUACUCCCUCUUCUCUCCUCUCCCGCGAAGGGACGGACGGUCCAUGGUGUCCUCUAACCUCAUCCCCAUCCCUGGAGAGCAGGGAGAGUCCUGUGGCCCGGGUCGCUGGCUGCAAAUAGUUGCCACCUGGAGAACGCUCAGAUGACACGGAUGGCCAGACCUGGGCACAGAAGUUGACAAAUGGUCGUUGGUGGAGUCUGAGCUGCUGUCUGAAAAUUAACUUUCCUGAGGUAUGACUGACAGUGAAAGGCACCCAUUGUACGCGUGCAUGUCCGAGAGUUCUGACAGACGUGUGCAGACUACGGCACCUGCGUCUCCCCCGAGCUCUCCCUCAUGCCCUUCCCAGUCUCCGCCGCUAACCCGACACCCACUAAUCUGCUGUCUGCCCGUGCGGAUCUGGAUUUCACAUGAAUGGAGUCGUACGGUG
Long non-coding RNA from Lepus europaeus (European hare), 1358 nucleotides. RefSeq lists it as uncharacterized. The record is from RefSeq and is a predicted model, not a curated record. The transcript is spliced from 5 exons. NCBI's taxonomy places the organism in Eukaryota, Metazoa, Chordata, Mammalia, Lagomorpha, Leporidae.